GACGAACGCUGGCGGCGUGCCUAAUACAUGCAAGUAGAACGCUGAAGGAGGAGCUUGCUUCUCUGGAUGAGUUGCGAACGGGUGAGUAACGCGUAGGUAACCUGCCUGGUAGCGGGGGAUAACUAUUGGAAACGAUAGCUAAUACCGCAUAAUAUUGACUAUUGCAUGAUAGUCAGUUGAAAGGUGCAACUGCACCACUACCAGAUGGACCUGCGUUGUAUUAGCUAGUUGGUGGGGUAACGGCUCACCAAGGCGACGAUACAUAGCCGACCUGAGAGGGGGAUCGGCCACACUGGGACUGAGACACGGCCCAGACUCCUACGGGAGGCAGCAGUAGGGAAUCUUCGGCAAUGGACGGAAGUCUGACCGAGCAGCGCCGCGUGAGUGAAGAAGGUUUUCGGAUCGUAAAGCUCUGUUGUAAGAGAAGAACGAGUGUGAGAGUGGAAAGCUCACACUGUGACGGUAUCUUACCAGAAAGGGACGGCUAACUACGUG
RNAcentral lists this ribosomal RNA (495 nucleotides) under uncultured bacterium. Its description in RNAcentral is "partial 16S ribosomal RNA". It matches the Rfam family "Bacterial small subunit ribosomal RNA", at positions 28 to 507 of the family's 1533-position model. The record is from RNAcentral.